Molecule: ribosomal RNA, 590 nt
Filed under: uncultured fungus
Lineage: Eukaryota; Fungi
Description: eukaryotic LSU rRNA
Rfam family: 5.8S ribosomal RNA (bases 223-376)
Source: RNAcentral
GGAAGUAAAAGUCGUAACAAGGUCUCCGUUGGUGAACCAGCGGAGGGAUCAUUACCGAGUUGCAAGACUCCCAAACCACUGUGAACAUACCCGUGAGCGUUGCCUCGGCGGGCGGCCCCAGGGGGGGCCGCAACCUCUCCCAGCUCGGGAGGUGCCCGCCGCAGGCUCAUACAAACUAUAUUGAAACUUAGUGGCCUCUCUGAGUCGGUUACCAAUAAUUAAAACUUUCAACAACGGAUCUCUUGGUUCUGGCAUCGAUGAAGAACGCGGCGAAAUGCGAUACGUAAUGUGAAUUGCAGAAUUCAGUGAAUCAUCGAAUCUUUGAACGCACAUUGCGCCCGCCAGCAUUCUGGCGGGCAUGCCUGUCCGAGCGUCAUUUCAACCCUCAAGCACUGCUUGGCGUUGGGGUGCUACGCGCUAAGCGUAGGUCCCUAAAAUCAGUGGCGGGCCCGCCGUGGCUCCGGGCGUAGUAGCAACACCUCGCCCCGGGACCGCGGCGCGCUCCGGCCGUUAAAACCCCUACUAUACUGAAGGUUGACCUCGGAUCAGGUAGGGAUACCCGCUGAACUUAAGCAUAUCAAUAAGCGGAG